GAUGAACGCUAGCGGGAGGCCUAACACAUGCAAGCCGAGCGGUAUUGUUUCUUCGGAAAUGAGAGAGCGGCGUACGGGUGCGUAACACGUGUGCAACCUGCCUUUAUCUGGGGGAUAGCCUUUCGAAAGGAAGAUUAAUACUCCAUAAUAUAUUGAACGGCAUCGUUUAAUAUUGAAAGCUCCGGCGGAUAGAGAUGGGCACGCGCAAGAUUAGCUAGUUGGUGAGGUAACGGCUCACCAAGGCGAUGAUCUUUAGGGGGCCUGAGAGGGUGAUCCCCCACACUGGUACUGAGACACGGACCAGACUCCUACGGGAGGCAGCAGUGAGGAAUAUUGGUCAAUGGGUGCAAGCCUGAACCAGCCCUCCCGCGUGAAGGACGACUGCCCUAUGGGUUGUAAACUUCUUUUGUAUAGGGAUAAACCUACCCUCGAGAGGGUAGCUGAAGGUACUAUACGAAUAAGCACCGGCUAACUCCGUG
RNAcentral lists this ribosomal RNA (479 nucleotides) under uncultured bacterium. RNAcentral's name for it is "partial 16S ribosomal RNA". It matches the Rfam family "Bacterial small subunit ribosomal RNA", at positions 28 to 507 of the family's 1533-position model. The record is from RNAcentral.